This 716-nucleotide ribosomal RNA is filed under the name uncultured bacterium. Its description in RNAcentral is "bacterial SSU rRNA". It matches the Rfam family "Bacterial small subunit ribosomal RNA", at positions 685 to 1398 of the family's 1533-position model. The record is from RNAcentral.
AUUGCGUAGAUAUCUAGAGGAAUACCUGUGGCGAAAGCGACCUCCUGGACAAAAACUGACGCUGAGGUGCGAAAGCGUGGGGAGCAAACAGGAUUAGAUACCCUGGUAGUCCAUGCUGUAAACGAUGUCGACUUGGAGGUUGUUUCCUUGAGAAGUGGCUUCCGAAGCUAACGCAUUAAGUCGACCGCCUGGGGAGUACGGCCGCAAGGCUAAAACUCAAAUGAAUUGACGGGGGCCCGCACAAGCGGUGGAGCAUGUGGUUUAAUUCGAUGCAACGCGAAGAACCUUACCUGGUCUUGACAUCCAUAAAAUUUUUUAGAGAUAAAAAAGUGCCUUUACCGGAAUUAUGAGACAGGUGCUGCAUGGCUGUCGUCAGCUCGUGUUGUGAAAUGUUGGGUUAAGUCCCGCAACGAGCGCAACCCUUGUUCUCUGUUGCCAUCAGGUUAUGCUGGGAACUCAGAGGAGACUGCCGGUUAUAAGCUGGAGGAAGGUGGGGACGACGUCAAGUCACCAUGGCCCUUACGACCAGGGCUACACACGUGCUACAAUGGCAUAUACAAAGAGAAGCAAAUCUGCGAAGACAAGCAAAACUCAUAAAGUAUGUCUUAGUUCGGACUGGAGUCUGCAACUCGACUCCACGAAGUCGGAAUCGCUAGUAAUCGUGGAUCAGAAUGCCACGGUGAAUACGUUCCCGGGCCUUGCACUCACCGCCCGUC